AGGAAGCCGGUGCGAAUCCGGCGCGGUCCCGCCACUGUGACCGGUGAGCGAGCCCCGGCAGGCCACCGCCCCCGAGCGGGGUGAAGAGGCCGGCCGGGACUCGCUCACCGGGAGCCAGGAGACU
This 124-nucleotide non-coding RNA is filed under the name Streptomyces sp. Lineage: Bacteria; Bacillati; Actinomycetota; Actinomycetes; Kitasatosporales; Streptomycetaceae. RNAcentral also lists the same sequence under 1 other name. The record is from RNAcentral.